GAGUUUGAUCCUGGCUCAGAACGAACGCUGGCGGCAUGCCUAACACAUGCAAGUCGAACGAGACCUUCGGGUCUAGUGGCGCACGGGUGCGUAACGCGUGGGAAUCUGCCCUUGGGUUCGGAAUAACAGUUAGAAAUGACUGCUAAUACCGGAUGAUGUCUUCGGACCAAAGAUUUAUCGCCCAAGGAUGAGCCCGCGUAAGAUUAGGUAGUUGGUGGGGUAAAGGCCUACCAAGCCGACGAUCUUUAGCUGGUCUGAGAGGAUGAUCAGCCACACUGGGACUGAGACACGGCCCAGACUCCUACGGGAGGCAGCAGUGGGGAAUAUUGGACAAUGGGCGAAAGCCUGAUCCAGCAAUGCCGCGUGAGUGAUGAAGGCCUUAGGGUCGUAAAGCUCUUUUACCCGGGAUGAUAAUGACAGUACCGGGAGAAUAAGCCCCGGCUAACUCCGUGCCAGCAGCCGCGGUAAUACGGAGGGGGCUAGCGUUGUUCGGAAUUACUGGGCGUAAAGCGCACGUAGGCGGUUAUUCAAGUCAGAGGUGAAAGCCCGGGGCUCAACCCCGGAACGGCCUUUGAAACUAGAUGACUAGAAUCUUGGAGAGGCGAGUGGAAUUCCGAGUGUAGAGGUGAAAUUCGUAGAUAUUCGGAAGAACACCAGUGGCGAAGGCGACUCGCUGGACAAGUAUUGACGCUGAGGUGCGAAAGCGUGGGGGAGCAAACAGGAUUAGAUACCCUGGUAGUCCACGCCGUAAACGAUGAUAACUAGCUGUCC
RNAcentral lists this ribosomal RNA (771 nucleotides) under uncultured bacterium. RNAcentral's name for it is "bacterial SSU rRNA". It matches the Rfam family "Bacterial small subunit ribosomal RNA", at positions 9 to 825 of the family's 1533-position model. The record is from RNAcentral.